UACGUAGGGGGCAAGCGUUGUCCGGAAUCACUGGGCGUAAAGGGUGCGUAGGCGGCUUGGUAAGUCGGGUGUGAAAGCCCCGGGCUCAGCCUGGGAAGGGCACUCGAAACUGCCGAGCUGGAGUGCCGGAGGGGAGAGUGGAAUUCCUGGUGUAGCGGUGAAAUGCGUAGAUAUCAGGAGGAACACCAAUGGCGAAGGCAGCUCGCUGGGACGGUACUGACGCUGAGGCGCGAAAGCGUGGGGAGCAAACAGG
RNAcentral lists this ribosomal RNA (253 nucleotides) under uncultured bacterium. RNAcentral's name for it is "partial 16S ribosomal RNA". It matches the Rfam family "Bacterial small subunit ribosomal RNA", at positions 524 to 776 of the family's 1533-position model. The record is from RNAcentral.